RNAcentral lists this ribosomal RNA (269 nucleotides) under uncultured bacterium. Its description in RNAcentral is "partial 16S ribosomal RNA". It matches the Rfam family "Bacterial small subunit ribosomal RNA", at positions 793 to 1055 of the family's 1533-position model. The record is from RNAcentral.
GUCCACGCUGUAAACGAUGACGACUAGGUGUGGGGGGGUUCAGUCCCCUCCGUGCCGCAGCUAACGCAUUAAGUCGUCCGCCUGGGGAGUACGGCCGCAAGGUUGAAACUCAAAGGAAUUGACGGGGGCCCGCACAAGCGGUGGAGCAUGUGGUUCAAUUCGAUGCAGAGCGAAGAACCUUACCUGGGCUUGACAUGCAGGAAGUAGAAGCCGGAAACGGUGACGACCUGUUAAGUCAGGAACCUGCACAGGUGGUGCAUGGCUGUCGU